AGGAUCCCAGAGUCGCCUCUUCACUGUUAACGUUGAGAUGGGUGUUUUGCAUGUACUAUUUAAUGAAGCUGCCAGUUGAGGACUUGUGAGGCCUCUGUUUCUCAAACUAGAUACUCUAAUGUAUUUGUCCUCUUGCUCAUUUGUGCUACCCACUCUUUCUAUUCUGGUUAGAGCCCGUUUGUGCUGUUCUGUGAAGGCAGUAGUACACAGAGUUGUACAAGAUCUUCAGUUUCUUGGCAAUUUCUCGAAUGGAUAGCCUUCAUUUCUUAGAACAAGAAUAGACUGACGAGUUUCAGAAGAAAGUUGUAACGCUCCAGGUGUCGUGGGUGUGGAGUCAGACGCAGGAAACAGAGAGUGCGAUGCUGUGCUCUUUAAUGCACAAAACGCAACACAGGGUGCUCACUACCAAAAUACACGACCAGGGGCCUGUUGCACAAAAGUAGAAUUAAGACAUCCGGGAUAAAUGACUCAGCUGAGCUCAAUGAAGCCAAAACAUGUGCGUCCAGGCUUAAUUGGUUGCACAAAGACCAAGCCAGGAUGAGCAGACACGGAUUCAUUAAGCCAGGUGAAACCAAUCCUGGAUAGGUGCGCGCUCACGGCUCACUCAAAUAGACCCCGCCACAGAUCACAGAUUAACUGAUUUACCAUGGCAACUAGAGCCGCGUACUUUUCCCCGUCGGAAGCACAAAUUCUCAUGGAGGCAUACGAGGAGGUAAAAGAUAUAAUUAAGAAGAAAGGCAACACCGCCACAGUGAUAAAGCAAAGAGAAAAAGCGUGGCAAAGUAUUGCAGACCGCCUGAAUGCGUAAGUAGUGCACAAUUACACACUCACCGCUCCGCUGAAACAUCACAAUUCAAAUAUUUAAUUCACAUCUCCAAAAAUGCAGUUGUACUGUAAUUAUGAAACGGUUAAAUUUUUAAUUGAAAUGCACUGCAGAUAUGAGUGAAAUUGUGUAAAGUAACUCCAUCACACUGUAUAAAGCUAUGAUAAAUUUUUUGAUAUUUUUACUGAAAACAAGACAAAAAUACCAAGUAAUUUUUUGCAGUGUGACUCCAUUAAGUGUGUGUGUGUGUGUAGAUUAAACAUGAACGGGCCAAAACGGACAUGGCAGCAGGUCAAAAUCAAAUACAAGAACAUUCUGCAGAAUGCAGUGAAAAAGAAUACCCACAGACAAGGCACGGGUGGUGGGUCACCAAAGGCUGACCUUACCCCAGCAGAGGACAUGCCUUGGAGCUAAAUAAAGGCAGGCCCGUCUUAGAGGGGAUCCCUGGGGGGAAAGAGACGCGCAUAGGUUCCUCCCAAGAUGCCACCCGCUUCAUUCAAGUGUCUGGCAGCACUGUGUUCCUGUUAGAGCCACCAGCACAAGCACCAGACGAUGCUGAUCCAGGUGAAGGCCCCAGUGCAGCAGCAACAGCACAUGAUGGAGACGAUGAUGAGGAGGAGACC
This is a long non-coding RNA of Oncorhynchus masou masou (cherry salmon), 1446 nucleotides long. RefSeq lists it as uncharacterized. Lineage: Eukaryota; Metazoa; Chordata; Actinopteri; Salmoniformes; Salmonidae. The record is from RefSeq and is a predicted model, not a curated record. The transcript is spliced from 4 exons.